Long non-coding RNA from Nematostella vectensis (starlet sea anemone), 1237 nucleotides. RefSeq lists it as uncharacterized. The record is from RefSeq and is a predicted model, not a curated record. The transcript is spliced from 2 exons. NCBI's taxonomy places the organism in Eukaryota, Metazoa, Cnidaria, Anthozoa, Actiniaria, Edwardsiidae.
AAGAGUAUCUCAGGUACGGUAAACCGCUCAUUAUUCAUCCUCAGGGUCUAAAUAAAAGACACAAGGACAAAAAAGACAUAAAAGACUUGCUAUGAGUACUCUAUACGACAAGAUAUUCACAGACCUCUUUCCUAGCUUGCCCGCUUUUCCCACUUUACCUUCAAAUUUUUUCUUCCUUACCCACUGCAACUUCUAUCACUUUAUGAGUUGUUAAGGACCAACCAAUCAACGUUGUAUCAUGGAUAUCAAAGGAGAAAAUGCAUGUUUUUGCAGUGAGACGCGCGGUACCGUUGCCACCUUGACAGUUAGUGAAGUAAACCAAUUUUAAAAUAAUUGAGAAUGCGAGAAACGUAUAUCUGAUUGACAUAAACUAGAAGUUAUGUUGGGGCACCACAUGUCCUCAUCUUGUCAAUCAAAGGUGUGAUAUCCUCCUUAAAUAUGUACAUACUGGCGGCAUCGAUAGGGCGUGCCGCAUUAUAAACAAACCACGUUUGAAAGCAGAGUAUUUUAACGUGCGCUCCACAACCUGUGUGGUUUGCAAAUGUAUUCUAGGUAUAGAGAUGAAAGGGUCUACCUGAAAACAGACAGAUUACUGGGGUACCCACCUGUUCCGUAUCAUUUUUCUUUGUCUUACUUAAUCACAUGUAUGUAUGCAUAUAGUUGCAGAGAUGGAGUGUCUAGAACGUCUGUGGCCCAGGUUUGAAUCCUGCCUUGAUUCCAAUUUGUGUAACAAUUGAAAAAGCUGAAAGCUAUUUGAUACUGGAGGUCUUGUCUCUUCAAGCUGCAUUACACUAACUUGAACGAUGUAAAACAAACCACAACGCAAUAAACCCUAUGCCUGAGACCACCCACAGUGAAAUUGCUUACUAACAAUACACACAUGGAGGCACUUGGUUUAGAGCCUCACCCUACUAUUUGUACCAGUAAAACAAAAAAAUACCAAGUUUUAUAGUCUAUGGCCAAUAGCCUAGCUAACAAUUGUAACAGUACCUGAUUGAUCACAUAAGUUUCAUCUAGAACAAUAUGUACUGUAGCUGUCUUGUUUGCAAAUGUAUUCUAGGUAUAGAGAUGAAAGGGUCUACCUGAAAACAGACAGAUUACUGGAGGGGUACUCACCUGUUCCGUAUCAUUUUUCUUAGUCUCGCCGGUGUCUUGCUCAGUCUGAAACAAGCAAUUUAAGAAACUGGAAGUUGCCUCUGCAGAAUCACAUUGUCAAUAUAACCUACCAAAACAAAGA